Molecule: ribosomal RNA, 465 nt
Filed under: Flavobacterium sp. 01WB02.3-31
Lineage: Bacteria; Pseudomonadati; Bacteroidota; Flavobacteriia; Flavobacteriales; Flavobacteriaceae
Description: bacterial SSU rRNA
Rfam family: Bacterial small subunit ribosomal RNA
Source: RNAcentral
UGAGCUUGAUCCUGGCUCAGGAUGAACGCUAGCGGCAGGCUUAACACAUGCAAGUCGAGGGGUAUUUAUCUUCGGAUAGAGAGACCGGCGCACGGGUGCGUAACGCGUAUGCAAUCUACCUUUCACAGAGGGAUAGCCCAGAGAAAUUUGGAUUAAUACCUCAUAGCAUUAUGAAAUGGCAUCAUUUUAUAAUUAAAGUCACAACGGUGAAAGAUGAGCAUGCGUCCCAUUAGCUAGUUGGUAAGGUAACGGCUUACCAAGGCUACGAUGGGUAGGGGUCCUGAGAGGGAGAUCCCCCACACUGGUACUGAGACACGGACCAGACUCCUACGGGAGGCAGCAGUGAGGAAUAUUGGACAAUGGGCGCAAGCCUGAUCCAGCCAUGCCGCGUGCAGGAUGACGGUCCUAUGGAUUGUAAACUGCUUUUGCACAGGAAGAAACAACAUUACGUGUAAUGUCUGACGG